CACAUACUCCCUCCGUCCGAAAAUACUUGUCAUCAAAAUGAAUAAAAGGGAUGACAUCCCUUUUAUUCAUUUUGAUGACAAGUAUUUUCGGACGGAACAUCCCCUUUUAUUCAUUUUGAUGACAAGUAUUUCCGGACGGAGGGAGUACGUA
This is a non-coding RNA of Triticum aestivum (bread wheat), 151 nucleotides long. NCBI's taxonomy places the organism in Eukaryota, Viridiplantae, Streptophyta, Magnoliopsida, Poales, Poaceae. The record is from Rfam.